CAGGCCUAACACAUGCAAGUCGAACGCUAUAUUUAUAUAGAGUGGCGCACGGGUGAGUAACACGUGGGAAUCUGCCCUUCUGCCUGGGAUAACAGUUGGAAACGACUGCUAAUACCGGAUACGCCCUUCGGGGGAAAGGUCCGCCGCAGAAGGAGGAGCCCGCGCUCGAUUAGCUAGUUGGUGAGGUAAUGGCUCACCAAGGCAACGAUCGAUAGCUGGUCUGAGAGGAUGAUCAGCCACACGGGGACUGAGACACGGCCCAGACUCCUACGGGAGGCAGCAGUGGGGAAUAUUGGACAAUGGGGGCAACCCUGAUCCAGCAAUGCCGCGUGUGUGAUGAAGGCCUUAGGGUUGUAAAGCACUUUCACUGGUGAAGAUGAUGACGGUAACCAGAGAAGAAGCCCCGGCUAACUUCGUGCCAGCAGCCGCGGUAAUACGAAGGGGGCGAGCGUUGUUCGGAAUUACUGGGCGUAAAGGGAGCGCAGGCGGUUCAUUAAGUUAGGCGUGAAAGCCCCGGGCUCAACCUGGGAACUGCGCUUAAUACUGGUGAGCUAGAAAACAGGAGAGGGUAGUGGAAUUUCCAGUGUAGAGGUGAAAUUCGUAGAUAUUGGAAAGAACACCGGUGGCGAAAGCGGCUACCUGGCCUGAU
Molecule: ribosomal RNA, 649 nt
Filed under: uncultured bacterium
Lineage: Bacteria
Description: bacterial SSU rRNA
Rfam family: Bacterial small subunit ribosomal RNA
Source: RNAcentral